RNAcentral lists this ribosomal RNA (494 nucleotides) under uncultured bacterium. Its description in RNAcentral is "bacterial SSU rRNA". It matches the Rfam family "Bacterial small subunit ribosomal RNA", at positions 1 to 507 of the family's 1533-position model. The record is from RNAcentral.
CGACUACGAGUUUGAUCCUGGCUCAGGAUGAACGCUAGCGGCAGGCUUAAUACAUGCAAGUCAAGGGGGUAGCAAUACAACCGGCGCACGGGUGAGUAACGCGUACACAACAUACCAUAUACUGGAGUAUAGCUUUGGGAAACUGAAGGUAAUCCUCCAUAACAUUGCGAGAGGGCAUCUGAUUGCAAUUAAAGUUUCGGCGGUAUAUGAUUGGUGUGCGUUUGAUUAGCUAGUUGGUAGGGUAACGGCCUACCAAGGCGACGAUCAAUAGCUGGCGUGAGAGCGCGACCAGCCACACUGGAACUGAGACACGGUCCAGACUCCUACGGGAGGCAGCAGUAGGGAAUAUUGGACGAUGGAGGAAACUCUGAUCCAGCCAUGCCGCGUGAUAGAUGAAGGCCCUCUGGGUUGUAAAUAUCUUUUAUCUGGGAAGAAACACUCCUAUUCUUAGGAACUUGACGGUACCAGAGGAAUAAGCACCGGCUAACUCCGUG